GACGAACGCUGGCGGCGUGCUUAACACAUGCAAGUCGAACGGAAAGGCCCUGCUUUUGUGGGGUGCUCGAGUGGCGAACGGGUGAGUAACACGUGAGUAACCUGCCCUUGACUUUGGGAUAACUUCAGGAAACUGGGGCUAAUACCGGAUAGGAGCUCCUGCUGCAUGGUGGGGGUUGGAAAGGUUCGGCGGUUGGGGAUGGACUCGCGGCUUAUCAGCUUGUUGGUGGGGUAGUGGCUUACCAAGGCUUUGACGGGUAGCCGGCCUGAGAGGGUGACCGGCCACCUUGGGACUGAGAUACGGCCCAGACUCCUACGGGAGGCAGCGGUGGGGAAUAUUGCACAAUGGGCGGAAGCCUGAUGCAGCAACGCCGCGUGCGGGAUGACGGCCUUCGGGUUGUAAACCGCUUUCGCCUGUGACGAAGCGUGAGUGACGGUAAUGGGUAAAGAAGCACCGGCUAACUACGUG
Molecule: ribosomal RNA, 468 nt
Filed under: uncultured bacterium
Lineage: Bacteria
Description: partial 16S ribosomal RNA
Rfam family: Bacterial small subunit ribosomal RNA
Source: RNAcentral